Molecule: ribosomal RNA, 253 nt
Filed under: uncultured bacterium
Lineage: Bacteria
Description: partial 16S ribosomal RNA
Rfam family: Bacterial small subunit ribosomal RNA
Source: RNAcentral
UACGAAGGUCCCAAACGUUAUCCGGAUUUAUUGGGUUUAAAGGGUGCGUAGGCGGGCUAUUAAGUCAGUGGUGAAAGCCCCAAGCUUAACUUGGGAACUGCCAUUGAUACUGAUGGUCUUGAGUACAUUUGAGGUGGGCGGAAUGUGUCAUGUAGCGGUGAAAUGCUUAGAUAUGACACAGAACACCGAUUGCGAAGGCAGCUCACUAAACUGUAACUGACGCUGAUGCACGAAAGCGUGGGGAGCAAACAGG